AUGGGCGGUGAGGCCCAGGACAUCACCUGCCCUGUGUGCCAGGGGGCCCCCAAGGAGCCCAGCUACAUCCUCCCCUGCCUGCACCAGUUCUGCUUCGGGUGCGUCAUGCGCUGGGUCCAGAGAAGCAGCACCUGCCCCCUCUGCAGGCAGCGCAUCACCUCCAUCCGCUACUCCAUCUGGGCGGAAGACGACUUCCUGGAGGUGCAGGUGGCCCCCGAUGCAGAGGCGCAAGACGACAGCCCCCAGGACCAGCAGGGGGCUGCAGAGCCCAUGCCCCAGCCUGCCGUCAGAGGCCUCCCGCCCGAGGAAUGGGCAGCCCUCUUCAGGGAACACCUCGAAGUCCUGGGUCCGCUGCGCUCCUGGGUGCGCCAGCAAGCCAGGGAGCUCUUCGAUGCUGCCUGGUGGGACCAGGACAUGCUGGAGGCCACCGUCGUCGCUUGGCUGUGCCGCUGUGGGCUGGAUGAGCACGCCUUGGUGCGGGAGCUGCGGCCCUUGCUGCAGGGCCACACGGUGAGCAUUGUGCAGCGGCUCAUCUCCAUCAUGGGGGAGAUAUGCAGCGAGGAGUACCUCGAGGAGCUGGGCUUCCUGGAACCGCGUCCUGACAGCCAGCUCUACAUGGACAACGGCCCUGACGUGGACCUCGAGGGCUCCCAAGACACCUGGGAGCCAAACAACGAGGGCUCCGAAGACACCGGGGAGCCAGAGCUCGAGGGCUCCCAAGACACCUGGGAGCCAGAAGACAGCCUGGAGGCCACCCCCAGCCCUGCUGCCUCCCCCCGGGACACUCCUGUCACCAGCCUGCUCUCCUCCUCCAGCGCGGAGGAUUCUGACAUCGAGGAGCUGCCCAGCGCCUCCAGUGCCGCCCUGCCUGCGGGUCCUGGCCAGCCGCCCGCUGCACCCAUCCCUGAGGAGCAGGAGGAGCUCUUCUCAGAGCCUGAAGAGGAGGAAGCAGAACACGCUGCAGUGCCGGGCUGCAGCCACGGGCCCUCUCCUCCUGGCCAGGGCAGGGACAGCUCACCUGGGGGGCCCCGGCGCCCCCCGAAGAGGAGGGCCGACAGCAACCCGGACUCUCCCCAGCCCUGCAAGAGGCCCCCGCGCCUUUAG
Molecule: long non-coding RNA, 1104 nt
Filed under: Anas platyrhynchos platyrhynchos (common mallard)
Lineage: Eukaryota; Metazoa; Chordata; Aves; Anseriformes; Anatidae
Description: lncRNA (ENSAPLG00000027175.1)
Source: RNAcentral